AGUGGGGAAUUUUGGACAAUGGGCGCAAGCCUGAUCCAGCAAUGCCGCGUGAGUGAAGAAGGCCUUCGGGUUGUAAAGCUCUUUUGUCAGGGAAGAAACGGGAGUGGCUAAUAUCCAUUCCUAAUGACGGUACCUGAAGAAUAAGCACCGGCUAACUACGUGCCAGCAGCCGCGGUAAUACGUAGGGUGCAAGCGUUAAUCGGAAUUACUGGGCGUAAAGCGUGCGCAGGCGGUUUUGUAAGUCUGUCGUGAAAUCCCCGGGCUCAACCUGGGAAUUGCGAUGGAGACUGCAAGGCUAGAAUCUGGCAGAGGGGGGUAGAAUUCCACGUGUAGCAGUGAAAUGCGUAGAGAUGUGGAGGAACACCGAUGGCGAAGGCAGCCCCCUGGGUCAAGAUUGACGCUCAUGCACGAAAGCGUGGGGAGCAAA
This 427-nucleotide ribosomal RNA is filed under the name uncultured Massilia sp. Its description in RNAcentral is "bacterial SSU rRNA". It matches the Rfam family "Bacterial small subunit ribosomal RNA", at positions 353 to 772 of the family's 1533-position model. The record is from RNAcentral. Lineage: Bacteria; Pseudomonadati; Pseudomonadota; Betaproteobacteria; Burkholderiales; Oxalobacteraceae.